Molecule: transfer RNA, 38 nt
Filed under: Atriplex patula
Lineage: Eukaryota; Viridiplantae; Streptophyta; Magnoliopsida; Caryophyllales; Amaranthaceae
Also listed under: 2 other names
Description: partial tRNA-Thr
Source: RNAcentral
GUCAUCGGUUCAAAUCCGAUAAGGGGCUUUUGAAAUUU